Molecule: ribosomal RNA, 301 nt
Filed under: uncultured bacterium
Lineage: Bacteria
Description: partial 16S ribosomal RNA
Rfam family: Bacterial small subunit ribosomal RNA
Source: RNAcentral
CAGUAGCCACGGGAAUACGUAGGGUCCGAGCGUUGUCCGGAAUUAUUGGGCGUAAAGGGCUCGUAGGCGGUUUGUUGCGUCGGGAGUGAAAACCUACAGCUUAACUGUGGGCUUGCUUUCGAUACGGGCAGACUUGAGGCAUUCAGGGGAGAACGGAAUUCCUGGUGUAGCGGUGAAAUGCGCAGAUAUCAGGAGGAACACCGGUGGCGAAGGCGGUUCUCUGGGAAUGUUCUGACGCUGAGGAGCGAAAGUGUGGGGAGCGAACAGGAUUAGAUACCCCCGUAGUCCCUGUCUCUUAUAC